CUCGUAGGCGGUUCGUCGCGUCCGGUGUGAAAGUCCAUCGCUUAACGGUGGAUCCGCGCCGGGUACGGGCGGGCUUGAGUGCGGUAGGGGAGACUGGAAUUCCCGGUGUAACGGUGGAAUGUGUAGAUAUCGGGAAGAACACCAAUGGCGAAGGCAGGUCUCUGGGCCGUUACUGACGCUGAGGAGCGAAAGCGUGAGGAGCGAACA
Molecule: ribosomal RNA, 207 nt
Filed under: uncultured bacterium
Lineage: Bacteria
Description: partial 16S ribosomal RNA
Rfam family: Bacterial small subunit ribosomal RNA
Source: RNAcentral